Long non-coding RNA from Limanda limanda (common dab), 754 nucleotides. RefSeq lists it as uncharacterized. NCBI's taxonomy places the organism in Eukaryota, Metazoa, Chordata, Actinopteri, Pleuronectiformes, Pleuronectidae. The transcript is spliced from 3 exons. The record is from RefSeq and is a predicted model, not a curated record.
UGGAGCUGCAGGAGAAGCUGUGGUGGGCGGAGAAGGACAUGACGGGGCUGAGAGAGGAGGUGCAGAGGGAGAGGAGGAGGAGGAGGGAGGAGGUGCAGGAGGAGCUGUUAGGACUAACCCAGCAGACCGUGGAGGUGGCAAACCUCUACAUGAGCUCCAUGCAGAGUCAGGUGGGUGAGAUACGUGACCUGGUAAAGAACGCGAAGGAGAAGAGGGAUCUCUUCUCUGCUGAAGGAGGAGGUGAAGAGGCUUCAAGAAACUGAGGUAGAGGAAGGAGGACUCUUCCAGGAAACACACACACACAUUAAUGAUUACAUUUCCACACACUUAAUAAAGGUUAAAAAAAAAUCAUAUUUCUUUAUGCUGGAUAUAUGGUGCUGUCUGGUAAAAGUGUACAGUUGCAACCAGGAAUCUGUUUUGUAAAAGCUUGCCCUGUGCUGUGGGUCUUUGUGAUUCCCUUAGUAUAAGACAUACUCAGCUGUAAUGUUGUAAACCUGCCUAGCAACUCAUUACAUGUUCCUUCCGAUGGAGCCUCUCCCUGUGUCUGGUGUUAGUUAGACAUUCUUGCCGGGCUGCAUACAGUUCCUGAUGCUCUUUACACACAGACGCACAGUUUAAGCAUAUAAUCAAACAAAGGCUAGUUUUUCUACAUCAUUCAUAGUUAUGGUUUAACUGCGUACAGUGAUAGAGGUGUGUACACGUGCAGACAUGAAACUUUAGCGCAUGCAAUAAAAGUGAAAGUCACAUUUUUAAA